This 729-nucleotide ribosomal RNA is filed under the name Limosilactobacillus fermentum. RNAcentral describes it as "bacterial SSU rRNA". It matches the Rfam family "Bacterial small subunit ribosomal RNA", at positions 48 to 733 of the family's 1533-position model. Lineage: Bacteria; Bacillati; Bacillota; Bacilli; Lactobacillales; Lactobacillaceae. The record is from RNAcentral.
GCUAUACAUGCAAGUCGAACGCGUUGGCCCAAUUGAUUGAUGGUGCUUGCACCUGAUUGAUUUUGGUCGCCAACGAGUGGCGGACGGGUGAGUAACACGUAGGUAACCUGCCCAGAAGCGGGGGACAACAUUUGGAAACAGAUGCUAAUACCGCAUAACAGCGUUGUUCGCAUGAACAACGCUUAAAAGAUGGCUUCUCGCUAUCACUUCUGGAUGGACCUGCGGUGCAUUAGCUUGUUGGUGGGGUAACGGCCUACCAAGGCGAUGAUGCAUAGCCGAGUUGAGAGACUGAUCGGCCACAAUGGGACUGAGACACGGCCCAUACUCCUACGGGAGGCAGCAGUAGGGAAUCUUCCACAAUGGGCGCAAGCCUGAUGGAGCAACACCGCGUGAGUGAAGAAGGGUUUCGGCUCGUAAAGCUCUGUUGUUAAAGAAGAACACGUAUGAGAGUAACUGUUCAUACGUUGACGGUAUUUAACCAGAAAGUCACGGCUAACUACGUGCCAGCAGCCGCGGUAAUACGUAGGUGGCAAGCGUUAUCCGGAUUUAUUGGGCGUAAAGAGAGUGCAGGCGGUUUUCUAAGUCUGAUGUGAAAGCCUUCGGCUUAACCGGAGAAGUGCAUCGGAAACUGGAUAACUUGAGUGCAGAAGAGGGUAGUGGAACUCCAUGUGUAGCGGUGGAAUGCGUAGAUAUUUGGAACAACACCNUUGGCGNANNNGGCUACCNUGG